RNAcentral lists this long non-coding RNA (1290 nucleotides) under Marmota monax (woodchuck). The record is from RNAcentral. Lineage: Eukaryota; Metazoa; Chordata; Mammalia; Rodentia; Sciuridae.
AACACAAGUUCGAGGCCAUCCUUAGCAAUUUAGCAAGUCCUGUCUCAAAAAGGACAAAUUAACUUAAAAAAUGUUCUUCCAACAGUGAUUCAAUAACAUCACCUUUGAAUACAGGGCAAGGUCAUUGAUCAAUGGGCAUGUUUUUAUGUCAGCUCAGUGUCUUUAAUUAAUGAAAGAAAAACAUCAAGAUAUUGAAUUAAUUUAUUAUAAAUCAAAUCUGAUGAGAAUUUUGAGUUUUUCCCUACCCUUAUUAUUAAUUAGUUAAGUCAAGAUUGACAAUCUGCAAAAUCGCAAUGGCUUUAAAUAUUAUUUCUCACCAAUAAAAUAAAAAGAACUGGGAAUGUGAUUCAGUAGCAAAGCACUCUUGGGUUCAAUACCCAGUACCCUCCACACUAAAAAAGAGGUGAAUCUAGUUGCCUUGAGGAAAGAUCCUGCAACAUGAUGGCAAUAAGUACAGAGUGAUUUCCCUAUUUCUCCUAAAAAGGCCCAUGGUCAUUUACUGAACAUGAGGAAUUAGGAGAAUACCUGAAGCUCCAUCAUUUCCCCUUUCUGUUUCCCCCUUUGUUUUCUUAGAGGGUCAGAUAAUAAAUGGAGUCCUACCCCAGGUUUAUAUCCCAUUAGAUCCCCUGGGUGCACAUUUGAUGGUGUUUUUCUAGGUUUCUUGGUAUGUGAGUAGAAUGGACGAGCUUACAUUGUAGAGCCUUCAUCUUGGUACCUACACCUGUAGAUUAAGAGCUAUUGUAGUAGAAAAGUAAUCCCUUGGUUAGCAUCUUUAUGCUUGAAAGUCUUCACAAGAAAAAGGCUAGGAAUAUGGUGGGAUGUGGCAGAAGCCCUUGAAACUACCCCAACCAAGUCAAAUUAGUUAAGCAAAAAUUGUAUUUCAUCUUGGGAAUGGCAGACUAGUGCUAUCUUUACAUAUUUAAUAGAUGGAAGGGAGUAAGUGGUCUCUUUUGUGUUUCCAUUUGAUUUUCCAGUCAUGUCCCUAUAAACCAAGCUCAUGGAUCAUGCAGAUGACAGUAGACUACAACAAACUUGACCAAGUAUUAACCCCAAUUACAGCUGUUGUCCCAUGUGAGAGGUGUCCUUAGGACUGAUUAACACCUUCAGAUAUGUAGUAUGUGGUUAUUGAUCUGGUGAAUGCAUUUUUUAAUAUCCACAAGGAAAAACUGAUCAGAAAUAGUGACAUUUCUGUGAGAUCGAUGAUAGUAUAUAUUUACCUCCAUACCUCAAGGUUAUGUUAAUUAUUGUCCUAAGGGCCCUGAAUUGUCUGAACAUUCUGUAGAAUAUCAC